This 65-nucleotide transfer RNA is filed under the name Novacerus sp. FZ-2019. RNAcentral's name for it is "tRNA-Asn". Lineage: Eukaryota; Metazoa; Arthropoda; Collembola; Entomobryomorpha; Tomoceridae. The record is from RNAcentral.
UAAGAUGAAACUAAAUUGUAAGUAUGCCACUGUUAAUGGUACAUAGUGAUAAAUCACCCUCUUAA